UGGGGAAUCUUGGACAAUGGGCGCAAGCCUGAUCCAGCCAUGCCGCGUGCGGGAAGAAGGCCUUCGGGUUGUAAACCGCUUUUGUCAGGGAAGAAAUCUUCUGAGUUAAUACCUCGGGAGGAUGACGGUACCUGAAGAAUAAGCACCGGCUAACUACGUGCCAGCAGCCGCGGUAAUACGUAGGGUGCAAGCGUUAAUCGGAAUUACUGGGCGUAAAGCGUGCGCAGGCGGUUUUGUAAGACAGAGGUGAAAUCCCCGGGCUCAACCUGGGAACUGCCUUUGUGACUGCAAGGCUUGAGUGCGGCAGAGGGGGAUGGAAUUCCGCGUGUAGCAGUGAAAUGCGUAGAUAUGCGGAGGAACACCGAUGGCGAAGGCAAUCCCCUGGGCCUGCACUGACGCUCAUGCACGAAAGCGUGGGGAGCAAACAGGAUUAGAUACCCUGGUAGUCCACGCCCUAAACGAUGUCAACUGGUUGUUGGGAAGGUUCCUUCUCAGUAACGUAGCUAACGCGUGAAGUUGACCGCCUGGGGAGUACGGCCGCAAGGUUGAAACUUAAAUGAAUUGACGGGGUCAUAGCUG
This 579-nucleotide ribosomal RNA is filed under the name uncultured bacterium. RNAcentral describes it as "partial 16S ribosomal RNA". It matches the Rfam family "Bacterial small subunit ribosomal RNA", at positions 355 to 932 of the family's 1533-position model. The record is from RNAcentral.